RNAcentral lists this ribosomal RNA (429 nucleotides) under Chloroflexota bacterium. RNAcentral describes it as "Chloroflexi bacterium partial 16S ribosomal RNA". It matches the Rfam family "Bacterial small subunit ribosomal RNA", at positions 355 to 776 of the family's 1533-position model. Lineage: Bacteria; Bacillati; Chloroflexota. The record is from RNAcentral.
UGGGGAAUAUUGCACAAUGGGCGCAAGCCUGAUGCAGCCAUGCCGCGUGUAUGAAGAAGGCCUUCGGGUUGUAAAGUACUUUCAGCGGGGAGGAAGGGAGUAAAGUUAAUACCUUUGCUCAUUGACGUUACCCGCAGAAGAAGCACCGGCUAACUCCGUGCCAGCAGCCGCGGUAAUACGGAGGGUGCAAGCGUUAAUCGGAAUUACUGGGCGUAAAGCGCACGCAGGCGGUUUGUUAAGUCAGAUGUGAAAUCCCCUGGCUCAACCUGGGAACUGCAUCUGAUACUGGCAAGCUUGAGUCUCGUAGAGGGGGGUAGAAUUCCAGGUGUAGCGAUGAAAUGCGUAGAGAUCUGGAGGAAUACCGGUGGCGAAGGCGGCCCCCUGGACGAAGACUAACGCUCAGGUGCGAAAGCGUGGGGAGCAAACAGG